Molecule: non-coding RNA, 3004 nt
Organism: Struthio camelus australis
Lineage: Eukaryota; Metazoa; Chordata; Aves; Struthioniformes; Struthionidae
Source: RefSeq, a predicted model, not a curated record
AAGAGCCGGCCGCGGUGGGGGGCGAGCUGUGGACGGCCCGAGUUGUCGUUGAAACGCGGACGGAGGAGACUUAGGUAUUACUAAGUGGAACAGUUUCAACAAAGCAGAAAACUUCAUGUGCCUGUCAUGAGGGUACUUUUGUAUGGAUCAAGCCUUCUCAGGAAGAAGAAGAAUUCAAAUCUGCAUCUCGGACAUGCUUUAACUACUAGCUGUUGUGUAAGAAGAGAAGAGGGAAACUGCUCAUCUAUGCAACUGCUUUAGGAGAGAGGGCUCCUGUGUUUUUACCACUUGCUGCUGGCUAAUCUUAUUCUUAGGCUCCCACUCUCCCCAUGUGUUGUGUAGAGAGUGUGAAAGCAUUAUUUAGGGGAAGAAGUAGAUUCUAAUAGUUGGUAGGGUGCUUAGAAAUUAAGUGUAGUACUUCAUGUGGAUCCAGUCCGUUUCUGUAUUGUACAUACAGAAAAACCAAAUCAUAGAAAAGUUGAGAGAGUUGCCCGCGUGAACUCAGUUCUCGUGAGUUAUCUGUGCCUAGAGACAUGAUUUCACUGUUCAUGAGUGAGAAACAAGUUAUGUCAAUAGAGUAAGAAGGACAAUAAAACAAAUAGUCCAAGCAAACGCACAGUCUUUGAAAGCUGCCUCACGUAAGCUAUGUCAAACUGCUACAGACAGGAGUAUAUAGCUAACGGCCUUCCCACUGGAGAGUCUGGAGUGCUGCACUAACAAUUUGAGCGUCACAGUUGUUAAGUGUUGUGAUGGAAAUAGAAUGCGAGGCAGUUUUGCAGAUAAUGAGUCUCUAGACUUGAGAGGUUAUAGCUCAAGUUUGUCAUUCUACUUCCAGAAAAUAAUUUACAGUUACAUUCAUUAGCAUAUCAGGUCCUUUACUUUUAGAUCCAUAAAUAUGAAAUAGAGGGGAAAGAAAUAAGGUUUUUUUGGUUUAAUUUCCUUUUCUUACAGGCUAGUGCUUAAUCUAUCUAAAAGUUAAUAAUUCCUUUUUUCUGAAUGAAAAAUAAAGUAUCACCCUUUUUUUCCUGAUGAUAGGUUAAUGAAAACAGUCAUAGACAAGAAGCAAUGUCUAUGACUGUGUAUCUGAAAGAUGUAAGAGGAGAUAUGUUUUCAAGGAGCCACAAAGUUAAACAGCCAGCCACAAUCAUCACUGUUGAUUUUCUGAUUCCCAUGUUGUCUUGCUACAAAUACUAUAGUCGUGUAAAGUCUACAAAAACAAGUUUUAAUGUUUUUUUCAUUUCAUUCAUGAUACAGCAUUUGCUGCAUUGUAACUAGAGGAUUUAAAUACAACAAGCUUUUCAAAACCCAUACAUUUCCAAACCAAGCCUUGGUAAGAAUGACACUACCACAUCAAUCACAAGCAGAGCCUGGCUAUAAAAUUACAGAACCACUCAAGCCAUCUGUAUAAUUAAAUGCAAACCAAAGCAAUCAAGCAAAUGCUAAAGAAAAUAUCUUCAUAUUGUAAACUUUAUAGGUAAAGGCAUGUAUCUGCUGUCUCUAAUUGGGAAAGUCUAUGUCUUUGACAGGUACACCGUGUUAUUGCUUUCCAUUCUCUUAAAUAGCACAGCAUCCUAGCUGGUAAAUGCAGAAAUAUCAGUUGGUGUAGUCUGUGCUGUGUAGAAUUCAGGAUCUAAAAUACAAAUGCCGAAGGAUCAAGGAAAAGAGGUGCAAAACAGAAGCGAAGUGGCUAACAUAAUGCCUGGGUGUGCCUGAUAAUGCAGGCCUUGGUUUGGGUGCCUUUGUUUUACGUGGUUACAUAAUUUCUCCCCAGCUGCUAACAUUGCCUUUGUUAGCUAGGUAGUUUCUUGGAGGCAUUGGGAAGACAGAAGUGAAACUCAAUCUAGGUUAAUUGAAAUGCUUAUGUGAUGUUGGUGUGCCAGAUUCUGUGCUGCAAACCUCUGGAGGAACCAUACAGUAAGCAUAACUUGGAGAGCAAGGACAAAGUGACCUGAAGUUUCCCAUUGCUUCUUUCUACAUUUAGGCUAAGUUUGAGGCUAUGCAGCCCAUGGUUGUACGUCAUAGCACUCCCAAAGGCUGCUCUGAUUUAUGAGAUCCUCCCUGUCCUGCUGUCAAUAGACUACUUAUACGGCAUCGUACCUUAGAGAGGAAAAGGAUUUCUGCAGCUCUCACUUCUGCUGUAUGCAUUCUCCUCAUUGCUUCCUGUGUAUGGCACACUGUACAGGUUGCAAAACUGAAAGUACAAGGCACAGUACAAAGCCGCUGGUCCCUCAGAAGUGCUGGUGGCAUCUUCUCAAAGCUGUUUCUGCCCCUUUUUAAUUCUGACUGGGGAACAAAGAAAAUUAGAAUUGAUUCAGUCCUGUCGUCUGCAUACUAGACUGCAAUACUUCUCUCCUCCAGGGAACACAUACCUGUAUGAACACAAGUGUUUCUGAUAGUUUAUUCUGGAUUUAAGAUCAAACAUGUAAACACCUGCUUUCUGAAAUGAAACCCAAACCCCAGAACUGGGUAAAUAGGCAUAAGGAGAGUCAGAAAUUUUAGAAAGAUGUGCCAAACUGUGUACUGGACAGAACUAGGUAAUAAGAAAUAUUCUUGAUAUCCUGUAUUUUCUCAGAUCUUAUGUACUUCUGAACCAGUAUGCCCAUCCUGAACCAAUCUGGAAUUCUUAGCAGACUGAGUACCCACAUGUCUUCUCUGAAGUAAUGUUGUCUUGGGCGUGCUAGGCCCCUUCUUUCUCCUUCCUUUGGGUAUUCAUGCCAUAUCACCUCCAAAUAAAGGUCCUAACCCCUGUCUUGCAGGUUUAUGUGUGUCUUUGUGGCCCUUUAAGGAUGCCUUCCUGAGAAGCUGAGUCUUUAUGCAGUAAAAAUAUAUUAAGAUGAAGGCAGAAGAGACCGAGAAGAAAAGAUUUUCUAACCUUCUGAUAAACCCACUCAGCAGGUUGGAGGGAGAGAGCACAAAAACUGGGAUUGCGCUGCUGCUGUGUGCUGUUUGCACAAAGUCAGGAGACACCAUCAAUAGAGUUGAGGGCUGGGAUACUGCUCAGAAG